RNAcentral lists this long non-coding RNA (2634 nucleotides) under Aquilegia coerulea. RNAcentral's name for it is "long non-coding RNA (ACOE_LNC001456)". The record is from RNAcentral. Lineage: Eukaryota; Viridiplantae; Streptophyta; Magnoliopsida; Ranunculales; Ranunculaceae.
UCCGAAGAGCCAGUAUGCGUAAAACAAAUGUGCCAAAAAAGAAGUGACCUAGAUUGAAUGGAUGUAAAUUUUUUUGACAUUUUACACAAAGAUAUGUAUAUUUAAUGUGAAAUAUACAUCCUCUUCUUUCCCCAUCUCUGUAUCUACUCUCCUGUAGAGAAAGUCAUAGUUGUCUUAGCAUAAAAUACAGUUAGUUUUAGUGUUCCACGAGCUUAAUGUAAUCGUAUUUAUAUAUUGAAAAUUCCAAUUUUGUGGUAAUAUGGUUUGGUUUACUUAUUUCCCCUUUUUCUUGUACCUUUACAUGGUUGUUGCGUCGGAGCUCAGGAAGUUUAUGGUUGAUCUAAUGAGCUAGGAGCAGGUUAUCUGUACUAACUAAUAUCCGAGGGAAAAAAUAUUUUUUGAUUAAUAUGCAGUUGGCUGUUGCGAGAUUUUAUUUGGCCUGAAGGCAAAGUGACAAACUACCUUGCACAGCAGAAAUUACUCCAGAAUAUUUUGUUUUGUUUCUUUGGCGCUAAAACUUGAUGAAAUAGAAGUACAGUACAGCAAAAUGAUACAGUAUAUUUUGGAUAAAGAAGAAAGAAUGAUGGCACUUAAAACAUUUGAAUUGAAGGCAAACUUGAUGAACGGUUGAUCUUCUAAAGUCGGCUGGAACUCAAACUCUUAAAAGUCCUAAUGAAACUAAACAAGUUGAAAGUGGUAGGUUUAUAUAUAUAUAAGUAAGUUGUUCAUGAAGAUUAAAGACAUACGUUUUGUUUACUUGUUUUCUUUUGACAUGGAAAGUGAAGAUAUCAUCAAGGAGAUUUUCCUUAGGAUUCCAUGGCGAUCACUUGCAAGGUUCAAGUCUGUUUCCAAAGAUUGGCUUAGGUUAAUAUCUCAACCAUCAUUCAUACAAAACCAUCAGUCUAGAAAUCUUUCUUUUGUUGGUUUGUUCUUCAGUAAUAUGUUCAUUAUAAAGUUUAUUCAAACUGAUAAUUCGAUUUUGCAACAACUCCCUUACAAAGGACAAAGUAUUCCUCAUUUUCGUGAUUUUAUCGUUACAAUACUGAACUGUUGCAAUGGUUUGCUCCUUCGUUACAGUUCUUCUUCCGAGCAUCCGAACACCACCUGUUACUACUCCAUUUCGAAUCCCAUUACCAGACAGGAAAUAAUACUCCCUAAAAAUCUUUCCAGAGAAACAAUAGUUCCACAACGAUUUGUCCGUAGUAGGCCGUUUAUUGUUCAAGGCUUCUCUUUUGAUCCCUCUGCAAGUAAUCCUUCUGUGACUGUGAUAGAAAUAUACAACACCAUUCAAGGUUGGUAUGUCAACACCUUUAUAACUGAAACACAUGAAUGGAAACAAAAAUUACAUAAAGUUGUGCCUUCUUUGUCUGGAUCCAAAGAUUGCGCGUUAUCAGGUCCAUCAACCUUCUUUAAAGGUUGUUUCCAUUGGCUCAGUAUAGAUUCUGGAGUAGUAGCCUAUAAUACAAAAACAAAACGUUUUAGGCUGAUCAGAAUACCUUGCGAUUGGAACAGAGGACACCCUUUCAAACUUCAUGAAAAUAUAGAUGGUGGUCGAUUUCCUUUUUACUUACAGUACAGGUACUUGGGGGAAUCUCAUGACCAUUUGGUUUAUACAAGAAUAGCAGGGGAUUCUGAUCUAUUUUUAUGGACACAAGUGGAUUACUACAGUAAUAUAUGGUCGCCUAUGCGUUGGAUUGUCAUGAGCAACAUACCUGAACCCCUGACAACUGGAUCAGUACUGGCCUUUGAUCGUAAAGAUGCUCGGCUGGUGUACCUAAUAUUGAACAAGAAAGUAAUAUCUUACCAUCUCGAAAAGGGGGAGUUCAAAGUACUUAAAGAUCUGACAAAAGAAGACACUAAUCAUAUGAGCAAUUGUGCUCCAUAUUUUUGUGCUUAUGAACUGCCAAGAUCACCACCUUCAAUUCCACCUCAACAAUAUUUCAAUGCAGUUUUUGGAGAUUUCAUGAAUAAGUUAGUGGAAUUAAAAUGUCAUGAGUAUCGACCACGUUAGUUUCUUCAAGUUAGAUGGUUUAUAAUGUAACCUACCAUCUACAGUUAAUAUUCUGCUUUUACAUAUUUUAGAAGUCUCUAUGAUUUUUUUUUUUUAUUACAGUACUCUGUCAUCUAGAUGUAUGAAUUUUUUUUUUUUAUGGCACAAUGAAACGUUAUUAUAUCUGGGGCAUAUGACAUUGCAAGUUUGCUAUAGAAGCUGAACCUCCAUGAUGACUAGGAAUUAUCAAUUGUCAUUGCUCAGCUGCCUCGGGAAAAAUCUAGACAUACUGGUUUUGCUUUUGAUUCGCCAGGAUAUGAAUCGUUCUUUGCUUUACAACAAGGUAUUCAUGCGCCUCAGAAGGCAUGGGAUGUGGUCCGAAGAGCCAGUAUGCGUAAAACAAAUGUGCCAAAAAAGAAGUGACCUAGAUUGAAUGGAUGUAAAUUUUUUUGACAUUUUACACAAAGAUAUGUAUAUUUAAUGUGAAAUAUACGUCCUAUUCUUUCCCCAUCUCUGUAUCUACUCUCCUGUAGAGAAAGUCAUAGUUGUCUUAGCAUAAAAUACAGUUAGUUUUAGUGUUCCACGAGCUUAAUGUAAUCGUAUUUAUAUAUUGAAAAUUCCAAUUUUGUGGUAAUAUGGUUUGG